Cynoglossus semilaevis (tongue sole) is the source of this 4865-nucleotide long non-coding RNA. RefSeq lists it as uncharacterized. The record is from RefSeq and is a predicted model, not a curated record. The transcript has 3 exons. Lineage: Eukaryota; Metazoa; Chordata; Actinopteri; Pleuronectiformes; Cynoglossidae.
AUGCAAGAAAGGCAGUAUGAGAAGUAUCAUAAGGGUGCCGGUCAUCCAGGGUGCCAGUAACCCGGAAGUAAAAGUGUAGCUUUUACAGUUUUUGCCACCAAAACGUUUUAUCACUAUUGAUUUGAAUGAAUAUAAAAUCCGUAGUUUAAAGUAAAUAACAACUAGCUGCGCCGCGUCCAAUCAAUCAAAUUUGUACAAUAACCUGACUCUCUGUACAACGUACGAUCGCUAAAUAUACGAUCAAUUGACCAUUCCGUGAACAUGUGGUUGUAAACAGCAUGUCGCAACUGUUUGCCUGAAAGAGUUAUUUAUUUUUUAUUCCUGGGGCACCUGUUUUCACGUGACCAGUUUACUGCGCAAGUGCACACAGUAUCCAGGUAGACGACCGUUAAACGGAACUAGAAGGCGCGAAAGUAAGAAAAAUAAAGUUAAUUUUUCCAGAGAGUCGCGAAGAGGAGAAGACGAGAGGAAACCAGAAGUUUUGUUGUCGAAAUCUGAAAUGUACCGUUUUUCACCAUGAAAUAACAAUGUAACAUUAGGUACUGUUGCCAGUCAGUGUCGGCGUCUGUGUCAGGCUGGUCAGGAUGGAGAGAGUAUAUUUGUUUUCUGCUGUGGUUCAUGUGAGCGCUGCAACAAUCUAUGUCUCGCCCCAGAUGCUCUCAUUGGUUGAAAUCAACAGGCCCUUCUUCCUGGUGACUCACUGUUUGUGUAGAGUCACACACAGUUCAAAUCUGGGAGGAAACAAAGCAAGACCUGACCACUGGCUGAGCUGCGACCGUUUCUGACAUGCUGCAAUCUACAUGUAUGUUCCUGCGGAAAGAGCAGAGGGGAAGAAAGACACGAGGCAAGUUAGGAUUGUAAAAAACAAUAUAGAAAAAAAAAAAUCUAAAAAUCGUCUUUUUGCUGCAUUUUUUUUUGUCUUUUUUUCACAAGUCAGGAACCAGUGAGGACAUGCUGAGGAGAGGAGCCAGCCAAGAGUUUCUGUUUAAAGAGAAUGCACUGAGUUUCUGUUGGCCGAAGUCAGUGCCGAAAAGAUGAGGGGGUGUGUGUGUGUGUGUGUGAGUAACCUCCACCAAGAUGACCUCACUAACAGGAGAACUUUGCUCCAGCUUGUCCUUCCCUGUACUCUUAGGGCUCAGCCUUUCUACCCCAUCUCAGCAUCCUGACUUGUCCCUGAAGCCCUGAUGGGUGUGUGGACUGUUGGCCGUUCACUAGCCAUUGUGAGCGGAAACACCAAACACACACACACACACACAUCUACUUCAUUACCCUAACUUUACCUAUUACAAAUGAAUUCCCUAAUCCUAAUCUGACCCUGAUUUUAACCCAAACUUCAUUUUGAAACUAAAAAUACAUUCUUACUCAGAGGGGAUUUACAAUAUAUUCCCACAAGGAAAAAUAUGUCCCCACAACAUUAGUGUCUUUGCCAAAAAUGUCCCCACAAAUACACACAACCGCAGUACACUGUCCUCAGACAUACCCCAAGGCUUCUCUUCUUCAUCAUCUUUCCAUGCUCCGUAAUAGUUCUGUUUAGGUUGUCUUCACUUCAUUCCAUUAGCUUUGUGUACAUCUGUGUGUGUGUUUACCAUUUGUGUUCAGCUGGUCCCUACACUUAUCUGCCACUUGUCUGAAUGUCUUCCUUGUAAAUGUUUGUAACCUGCUCCCUGUCCGUGGAGUGGUGGCACUCCAUGAAGGUCGGGGAUUCCAGGACUUCCAGGCAGCAGAGCUGUGUGGAGGACUUGAAUCCAAACAUCAAGAGUCGACUGCUGCUCUAAGGUUCGUCUCCACUCAUGCUCCAUUCCUCUGCCAUUCCCUCAUGCUUUGGCCGGCAACUCACACGUCUCUCCAGGAUUUCAUGCUGAGCUUGAGAUCAAAACUUGGAUCUUUGCUAACACCAUGAGCUAUGAUUCAGUGGGUCUUUGUCAUGCAGAACUCUCUGCUUGUAGUGCCUGCUGCCCUGGGCCUCUUUAGCAGCACAUGAAACAUACCACAUACUGCCACAACUUCCACUAACAUGAUUAAAAUAGCCAAUAACCACAGUUGUAAAACUUUAGGGUUAUGACAUUUCCUGUCAUCAGUACUUCUGAUUUUAUUCAGAUUAUUUGCUUUUGGGAUUCAGUAAAAAAAAUCCUAACUUUAUAAGAAAGUCCAACACAACAACAGGUGACAGCCAUUUCAGGUACAGCCUCAUACAGUGUACAUGUACAGUACCUCAGUAUGUGGUUUUAUAAGUCCUGUCCCCAUUAAAGCUCCUAUAAUAUAUUAUUUAUAAAAUACUCAAUAGUGUGCAGUGAUUCUAACUUUAGCUUUAACUUCACUUUAGUAGUAGUAGUGAGCAUAUAGUACACACACACCGUUCUUUGUGGUGCUAAGAGAUGUCGACGUCUGUGCUUAGUGUUUGCAGAUGGUGGUAGAAAACCUGGGACUGUUUUCCAUCCCUAAGAUGGUCAGAUUUGUGUGGAGACAAUGACUCUGUAUAAAUCCCACGUGGCGUAGAGAUAAGUGGAGGGCAAUUCCAGCCUGAGUGAGUAGCUGAGGCCAAAAAUACCAUCCAUUCUGCUGCAACAGAUGAGGACCUGGAGAUGGGUGGUGUAACAGAGGAGGGCUGAAGUGAGAGGAUGAUCUGCUGAAAUGAUUACACUAAAAAAUGGCAACUUUAAAAGCUGGUUGCAAACUAAAUCUUAUUUUACACUGCCACCUACAGGGCUGGAGUGUGUGUAUCAUUUUUAUUGCCGUGCUUGUCAUGAGGCAACUGAGAUUGGUUCAAACCUUGUAUUGUAUUUGUAAUUAAUCCAACAACAUGUUGGAGGUAAAGUCUGGGCCAAACAUAGAGGGUUAAUACUUUAGGACACUAGGACAGGACCCACACAGUCCACCUGGACUCCACCUCCUCUUCAUAGUUGCGUUCCCACUGCGACAGGGAGCUGUUAGAACCUGAAUCAUGACCUGAAAUACUCUGCUCACUUUUUCUGCAUAAUCACUUUUUUGCAGUCGAAGAGGGAAAUGAGUUCAUGCAGCGCCGGGGUAGAAAAGUGAUCCAUUUGGAGGCAGAGGGGAUUUCUCUGAGUCGUUCUGUGGUUGUGUGUAUGUGCAGUGGUCUUCAGUGAAGGAGACCAUAUGUGAUCAAAGACAGCCGAGGCCAAACAGUUGAUACAGUUCUGACGUUACAUUAUCCUAAAGUCACACGUAUGGAAAGACAGAGAGGGAGGGGAGGUCGGCGGGGGCUCAUUUCUGCUGCAGCUCAUUUUCUUGAAAUAUUUUGCAUGAAUAUUGGCAGCCGUCGGGCUGGAGAAGACAAAAGGAAAUGAACCGCGCCUGCUGGAGCCAAAGACAACACACAGUGUGAGAAAGUCUCACUGCAGUUACUGUGUGCAGGGGACAAUCUCAAUCAAACGUCUGUGGGACGGAAAAAAAAUUAAUGCUGGUCAACGAUUAAAGCUUUUAAUUAAUCCCAGAAAGUCAUGCUACUAAUCACCAAUAAUCAAAUCAAAAGUAUUGUAUAGCACAUAUUUAUUUAAAAUGUACUGCCAAAUGAAUGGAAGUCCCAUAACAUUUGUUGUGCUAACACUUAACAUCAGCUUUUUAUAUAGUAGCAGUUAAAUAAAAGUAUUUAGUGUAAGUUUUUUUUUGUAAUUUGUUGUUGUGGGGGGUGCACUGUUCUUGCGGGAGGGCAUUUCUAUGAAAAAUGUUUGUGGACCUCUGGCAGGGAUGGUCAGACUUUUUUUCUAGCUCCUAGUUAAAAAUAGGGAUCUCCAAUAUUAACUUUUUGCCGAUAUUGUCUAAACACUUAAUUUCUGAUUCCAGUAUCAAGCGAUACCGAUAUAGGCCUGGUAAUAUGUAUUUAUUUAUCUGUACAAAAAAUUUUAUGAGUAUGAGAUUAAUUAAAUGAGCUGCAAUGCUGCCAUCUAGUGACUUUUGCUUUAAUAUACAUCCGUUUAUCCCUAAAACUAUUUUUAGGGCACACAUCAUUUGGCCGAACCCACGCAUUGCGUCAGGUUUUCAUUAUCGGGGAAAAAGUGAUUACAAUUAUUACAGAUAUUACAUAAUAUGCUAAUAUCAGACAUUCCUGGUUAAAAGUUUGAAAGUAUAAUAAACCAAAAACCCCAGUUAUUUCAUCUUAAAUGAGUUCUGACCCAGUGUACUGUGUUGCUGCGCUGUUGAACAGUGAGACUCUACAGUAUAAGACUUUUAUGAUGUAAUGACACACGGCUGCCUUUAAACCUGUGUGAAGGACAGUGUGGAUUAUAAAACAUCUGAAGUGGUGGAGGAAUAAAAAGGCGUGGGAGGGUGAGGGCGGGGGUGAGGAAGGGGUCUCUGGGUGUUUGACUGAUAGAGCAGAGGAGGGAGAGGAGCCAGGUCUGUGUUUGCUGGGUGUGGCUGCAGACAUGAAUCAGUGUGUGUGAAAACUAUCACUGCACCGGACCAAAUUCCUGAAAACACAGUAUGUGAUGUGUAAAUAUUUAUAAGACGCAUUUCAAAUCAGAGCAAAUGAUUCAGCUGGACGAUAGAAAAUCAUCAGGAGGAGACGGAAACACUCCAGACUCCAUUCAGAUGAACAGGUGUUUGUUUUUUUAAAAAGCAAACAAAAAUACUGUAAACUUUGUUUGUAUGUCUCAACAUUUGUUGUACUUUUCUCCUAAACUUUUAUGAAGUGUAAAAACUGUGAACUCCAUUAAGGAAAAUAUUUAUACUUUAUAGUUUUUAUUUCUUUGCUUUUUCUUCUAUUUCUCCCUAGACUUUAUCAUCUCUUUUUCAUUUCUUCCUCUACUUCUUAUUCACUUCUCUUCCUUCUUGUCUUCUGCUUUGUCUUCAACUUCUAGUAUUUAUUCUUUACUCCUAUUAUUUCUACACCAUUUUCCUUUAAU